GACGAACGCUGGCGGCGUGCCUAAUACAUGCAAGUAGAACGCACAGUUUAUACCGUAGCUUGCUACACCAUAGACUGUGAGUUGCGAACGGGUGAGUAACGCGUAGGUAACCUGCCUGGUAGCGGGGGAUAACUAUUGGAAACGAUAGCUAAUACCGCAUAAUAUUAAUUAUUGCAUGAUAAUUGAUUGAAAGAUGCAACUGCAUCACUACCAGAUGGACCUGCGUUGUAUUAGCUAGUAGGUGAGGUAACGGCUCACCUAGGCGACGAUACAUAGCCGACCUGAGAGGGUGAUCGGCCACACUGGGACUGAGACACGGCCCAGACUCCUACGGGAGGCAGCAGUAGGGAAUCUUCGGCAAGGGACGAAAGUCUGACCGAGCAACGCCGCGUGAGUGAAGAAGGUUUUCGGAUCGUAAAGCUCUGUUGUAAGAGAAGAACGGGUGUGAGAGUGGAAAGUUCACACUGUGACGGUAUCUUACCAGAAAGGGACGGCUAACUACGUG
Molecule: ribosomal RNA, 505 nt
Filed under: uncultured bacterium
Lineage: Bacteria
Description: partial 16S ribosomal RNA
Rfam family: Bacterial small subunit ribosomal RNA
Source: RNAcentral